RNAcentral lists this non-coding RNA (209 nucleotides) under unclassified sequences. RNAcentral's name for it is "IS605-orfB-I RNA". It matches the Rfam family "IS605-orfB-I RNA". The record is from Rfam by way of RNAcentral.
GUCCUAUAUAGAUGUAUCAACGCAAGACAGUUGAGCAUCUCCCUUUAGGAUGUUGUUUAUCCAGAAGCUUCAGCGACAAUCUUUAUUGUGUAGCUGCAUAAGUUGAAAUAAAGUGAGUUGAAGUGGAACAGGUUAAUCGUAAGACCUUGAGUUGAAAAACUCUAAAAUUAACCUAGAAAUAUAAUUUCGUAUUUUCUAGUUGCGAUCCC